UACCACCCUUUGUUUAUUACACUUUGUUGCUUUGGCAGGCCUGCCCUCGGGCUGCUGGCUCCGGCCGGCGAGCGCUUGCCAGAGGACCUAAACUCUGUUUGUCUAUACUGUCUGAGUACUAUAUAAUAGUUAAAACUUUCAACAACGGAUCUCUUGGUUCUGGCAUCGAUGAAGAACGCAGCGAAAUGCGAUAAGUAAUGUGAAUUGCAGAAUUCAGUGAAUCAUCGAAUCUUUGAACGCACAUUGCGCCCCCUGGUAUUCCGGGGGGCAUGCCUGUCCGAGCGUCAUUACAACCCUCAAGCUCAGCUUGGUGUUGGGCCCCGCCGCCCCGGCGGGCCCUAAAGUCAGUGGCGGUGCCGUCCGGCUCCGAGCGUAGUAAUUCUUCUCGCUCUGGAGGUCCGGUCGUGUGCUUGCCAUCAACCCCCAAUUUUUUUCAGGUUGACCUCGGAUCAGGUAGGGAUACCCGCUGAACUUAAGCAUAUCAAUAAGC
This 490-nucleotide ribosomal RNA is filed under the name Geomyces sp. 2PF1. RNAcentral describes it as "eukaryotic LSU rRNA". The stretch from base 134 to 287 matches the Rfam family "5.8S ribosomal RNA". Lineage: Eukaryota; Fungi; Ascomycota; Leotiomycetes; Thelebolales; Pseudeurotiaceae. The record is from RNAcentral.